GUAACACUCGUAUAACAGAAUUUCCUAAGUACUACAAAGAUUAUUUGAUAAUUAAAAUUAUUUACUAUAAAAUAGGAAUAGAAAGGAAAGAAAUCUCCGAACACCGGAAAAGGAGGUUGAAGAAGUUGAAUUCGGUACAUCUAUCUCAUGUCUAUUUAUGAUAGUACGUUUUUAUAAACAGAAAUAUUUGGAAUAAUACCUAAU
Molecule: non-coding RNA, 204 nt
Organism: Cinara cedri
Lineage: Eukaryota; Metazoa; Arthropoda; Insecta; Hemiptera; Aphididae
Source: the annotation of a GenBank genome assembly